This 492-nucleotide ribosomal RNA is filed under the name uncultured bacterium. Its description in RNAcentral is "partial 16S ribosomal RNA". It matches the Rfam family "Bacterial small subunit ribosomal RNA", at positions 29 to 507 of the family's 1533-position model. The record is from RNAcentral.
AGUGAACGCUGGCGGUAGGCCUAACACAUGCAAGUCGAACGGCAGCACAGUAAGAGCUUGCUCUUACGGGUGGCGAGUGGCGGACGGGUGAGGAAUACAUCGGAAUCUACUUUUUCGUGGGGGAUAACGUAGGGAAACUUACGCUAAUACCGCAUACGACCUACGGGUGAAAGCAGGGGAUCUUCGGACCUUGCGCGAUUGAAUGAGCCGAUGUCGGAUUAGCUAGUUGGCGGGGUAAAGGCCCACCAAGGCGACGAUCCGUAGCUGGUCUGAGAGGAUGAUCAGCCACACUGGAACUGAGACACGGUCCAGACUCCUACGGGAGGCAGCAGUGGGGAAUAUUGGGCAAUGGGCGCAAGCCUGAUCCAGCCAUACCGCGUGGGUGAAGAAGGCCUUCGGGUUGUAAAGCCCUUUUGUUGGGAAAGAAAAGCAGCAGGUUAAUACCCCGCUGUUCUGACGGUACCCAAAGAAUAAGCACCGGCUAACUCCGUG